UAGAGAUCACAGACACCAAUAUGGAGGAUGACCAAAUAGCGUUUUAUUAAACAACAGCAGGCAUUAUAUGCCUUUCGGCCACACGGAAGUACCUGUGCUGACCCAAUCAGAAGGUAUGUUGGUGCUAAGAGGAAGGCUAGUGAAAAUGCGGGCCCUCUUUGGAAGGAAACAAGAGACCUGGUUACCUGGGGCAUGGAGAAGGCCGAAGUAUUCAACUUGUUUGUCUCAGUCUUCACUGACAAGAGCUCCAGCCACACCACCAAAGUCACAGAAGGCAAAGGCAACCAAGAAACCUGAAGAAAUCAGAAGUCUUUUGUCGGCUUCUUAGCUUCAGAAAAGAGAAGAUGAGCUACAGAGACAGCAGAAGGAAACACUUUCUCUGUGACAGAAUAAGGAUGAUCUUCUUAUUGAGCUCUAGCCUCAAGAAGUUAGAUUUAGUGGCUCUAGACUGAGCUGUGCAAAAUGGAAUUGGAGAUAAAAAAUGGAGAGCUGAAGCUGAACAGCUACAAAAUGAACUGGGAAUAUCCAGUUAGUUACAUGGGCAGGCCAAAUAUUCAGCUGGAAGACCAGAAGACAAUGAUUCAGAAGCCCAGGGAGCCUUCAGUGGACAAUCAGAUUGUGCCUACAGCGGAAGAAUCUUGCUGGCAUAUUGCCUUUGCCACUCUAAAAUCUGAUUUCACAGAAUUUGAAAAGAAAGUAUGUCAAAACUUCAGUACAGUUGGAUGAUACCAAAAAGGAACUGGAGGAGGUGCAUGCUGCUCUUGUCGUGGUCAUGCAGGAACUCGAUUUGGCAGGAGCUGAGUGAGACAUGAUGAAAAGAUUGACAUUUCUUCUGAGGAAAAAAAUAAGAAAAAAGAAGGCUUGCUACACUGGAUAUCAAGAUUUUCAUAGGACUACUUUGAAAAUGUAGAAUCUGCAGCUCUUAUACUGUGGAAUACUGAGCAUCUUACAUGGAUCAGGAGAAUCAGUUUCACAGUAGCCUGCAUCAUAGUAGUUGUACAUUGUAUGCAAUCUAACUGUAGGAUACCCUCAUCUCAACAAAAAUAUGUUAUACUAUUUCUUGUAAAGCCAUAAUCCACCUGAAAUAAACAUAUCCUGAAAACUAACUGAA
RNAcentral lists this long non-coding RNA (1111 nucleotides) under Strigops habroptila (Kakapo). RNAcentral describes it as "lncRNA (ENSSHBG00005007109.1)". Lineage: Eukaryota; Metazoa; Chordata; Aves; Psittaciformes; Psittacidae. The record is from RNAcentral.